GACGAACGCUGGCGGCGUGCUUAACACAUGCAAGUCGAACGGAAAGGCCCUGCUUGCAGGGUGCUCGAGUGGCGAACGGGUGAGUAACACGUGGGUGAUCUGCCCCUUACUUUGGGAUAAGCCUGGGAAACUGGGUCUAAUACUGGAUAGGACCAUGCUGUAGGUGGUGUGGUGGAAAGAUUAGUUUCGGUAAGGGAUGAGCUCGCGGCCUAUCAGCUUGUUGGUGGGGUAAUGGCCUACCAAGGCGUCGACGGGUAGCCGGCCUGAGAGGGUGGACGGCCACAUUGGGACUGAGAUACGGCCCAGACUCCCACGGGAGGCAGCAGUGGGGAAUAUUGCACAAUGGGCGCAAGCCUGAUGCAGCGACGCCGCGGGGGGGAUGACGGCCUUCGGGUUGUAAACUCCUUUCAGCCAUGACGAAGCCCUUGUGGUGACGGUAGUGGUAGAAGAAGCACCGGCUAACUACGUG
This 469-nucleotide ribosomal RNA is filed under the name uncultured bacterium. RNAcentral describes it as "partial 16S ribosomal RNA". It matches the Rfam family "Bacterial small subunit ribosomal RNA", at positions 28 to 507 of the family's 1533-position model. The record is from RNAcentral.